This 253-nucleotide ribosomal RNA is filed under the name uncultured bacterium. RNAcentral's name for it is "partial 16S ribosomal RNA". It matches the Rfam family "Bacterial small subunit ribosomal RNA", at positions 524 to 776 of the family's 1533-position model. The record is from RNAcentral.
UACGAAGGGGGCUAGCGUUGCUCGGAAUGACUGGGCGUAAAGGGCGCGUAGGCGGUUUGGACAGUCAGAUGUGAAAUUCCUGGGCUCAACCUGGGGGCUGCAUUUGAUACGUUCGGACUAGAGUGGGGAAGAGGGUCGUGGAAUUCCCAGUGUAGAGGUGAAAUUCGUAGAUAUCGAGAGGAACACCGGUGGCGAAGGCGGCUAUCUGGACAGAAACUGACGCUGAGACGCGAAAGCGUGGGGAGCAAACAGG